CCAGCAGGCCCUUUUUCCUUCUUUUCUUUUCCUCUGAUUGGGCUGUGAGUGACACAUUCAUGAAUAAACUGAAAGAGAGAUGUCAAAACGUGGUCAGAUGAUCGCAAUUAGAAUUUUCCUUAGUAAUUACGUGAUUAUUUCUGUCUGGAAACCCAACCCGAGUCAAACGCAUUCAGUUCCAUUGGAUGCUGGGAGCUUCUCUGAGUCCUGUCACCAAAUGUGCCAUGGUCAGGCGUGGUGUGGAGGGCAGGGAUGAGCAAGGCUAGUCCCGGUGCAGGGUAGCGCAGGGCUGCGAGAUAGGCAACAGCGUUCCUUACGUCAGCCCGCGUUUAUUAUGUCAGCACGUAUUCAUUGAGCUCCUCCUCUAUGCUAGGCACACACUGAACGUGCAGUACGUAAUAGUGACGGUGUGGACGUGAGCCCUGUCCUCAAGAUGCUUAGAGUAUGAUGUGGGUGUCAAAAAUAGUGGGAGAGAUAAGGGACAUUCGAUAAGAUAUCCAGCCAGUACAAGGACUGAGAGACUGUCAGAGACCAAAGGAGAUUAAGGAGACGUGAUGACUAAAUGCAAUAUGGUACCCUGGAUUGGAUCCUGGAACAGAAGGAGGACAUUCAUGGAAAAACUGGUGAAAUUCACGUCUGGAAUUUAGUUAACAGUAACGGACCAAUGUUGGAAGCAACAAAACGUGACCCUGGUACCUGUCCGUUGUGAGACCCGGAUGUUCAGCUUUCCUUCUAUUAGAUGAGAUCCCGUAGGUUCACGUGAGACGAGACAUCACAGAUUCGGAGUGCCAGGAAGAGAAUGGAAUGUGUCACCUGUUUGUCCCGCAACGAGAGAGGGCAAAGCACCUUCCAUAAUUAUCCUAUAGAGACUGAAGAACAUCAAGCAAAAUAGAAGAGAAAGAGAAACAGAUUAUUUAGAAGACAAAUUGUGAAUUAACCAAGUAGAGUUUGGACCAUGAGGGGAUCAUUUUCUGAUGAGUGAGAACCAUGGAGAGCAGCCCGGGAUUGUUGACUGGAAUCAGAAAGACCCAGGUUUAAGUCUCAGCAACUCUACUGUGUGACCCUGUGCAAAUUACUUAACCUCUCUGAACCUCAGAGGCUUGAUCUGUAGAAAAGACAUAUGAACACUUCUUUGAAAGUUUGUGCUGAGGAUUAGGAAUAAUGUAUAUAAAGUAUUAGCAUAGAUUCUCUUGUAGGUGGUCACACAACUUGUCAAAAAAGGUAGAAAUUUUUGUUUCCUCUCCUGGGCAAUGAGUCUGAAAGCUCAGCCAACGCUAUCAACUCUCUCUCUUGACAAUUUAAAUUGAAUUGAAUGGAUGAAGAUCGUUCAUGUUAGUGGUGUUACCCCAAAGAAGCUGUUUAUUACCUCCUGCUAUCUAGACCCAUAAAAAGCCCUUGUUCCUGUCCUUGCUGAAGUCUGACUGUCCAGUUCUUCCUGCAGUCCUACAGCUAGCCCACAUGCUUCUAGUAAUUCCCUCUCUGCUGAUUACCCAGAGAAGUUUCAGUAACUUGCUUCUAAAAGACCUUAACUGAUUCAGUUCAUAUUAUUAAUAUUAGUAGUAGCAUUUGCAUCCCUAAUAUGAACUAUUAUAAUUAUUACACUUACGAUUGGUGUUCACGUCUUUCUUAGAAGUAAAAAUCUUAACUGGGCCCUAGGCUUGAGGAUGAUGGAAAUAGGAUGGGACUUUACACAUAUUAGCAGACAGCACACUUCCUCCCUAGAUUCUUCAGAGUUGAAGACACACCAUGUGCUUUGUCUCAAAUGCACAGGAGACCUUACCAAGAUCCUGGCCUAGAGGAGAAAGACCAAAGCUUAGCCUGUUUCGCUGCCUGCCACAAUGGAUGCUGAAGAAAAUACUGAAUUUGUGUGCCCAUCUCAGAAGCACAGAGCUCAGAGGGGUAUAAGUGUAAAUUCAAACCCCAGAGACACAAGGGUGCUAAGACCAGACGGGCCCUUGGAGAUCAAUCAAAUAUCCUGUGUUUCUUGAAUGGGCAUAGACACAUAUGUCCAUCCCAUGCCAAAAUUUGAUUAUAUUGCGUCCUACUGCUGUGCGAAUUUUCCUUGGAGGUUGUUAUGUUAGAUUAGAAUAAACACAAACAUACAUGGAUUUUUGUGGUCUCUUGUUUAUCCUUAAGAAGUUUCGCUCCUAAGUUCAGCUGGCUUGAGUUCCAUCUCCAGCUGUUCAAAGUUGACUCCAACACAUUUUAUAGAUGGGAAAACCGAGGCCCAGUGGGAGGAGACCCUUGACCAAGGUCACACAGUGAGCAAAUCUCAGGGCCAAUCCUGCAACCAGGCCGCCUCCUUUUCCAGCCCAAUUAAGAAGGAAAGAAAGAGCUAAGGGAGGACAAAAAUGUGGUGGUGGCUUUGGUUUCCUUUUAUUUUAAAUCAAGAGUAAUUUUUUUUUUCCAGAUCUAUCCUUGGGUUUUUGGUCUGCAGCUCUGAGAAGGUAGAUUCAUCCUGUGAGCUGUGUUUUUCUCCACAGCGUGGCUGUCUCUGUUCCAGUCCCUGCUAAGUGCUGAGGAAGGGCAGCAUAGGGCAGGUCUGGCUGAAUGCAAACAAAAACUGCCAUUUCUCAAGGCCUGUGGGUUUGCUGGGCAGAGUGGAAGCUUUUGUCACUUUUACUACAAAAAUCUUGAAACAGCCAUUGGUAGUAGAAAUCUGAAUCAUCCAAAAUAAUUCUAAAUACGAUCUGUGGCUCCUGGGAGGCCCAGGGUCAGAGCUCCUUGACUUUCACACAGCUUCCUCCCACCUGAAUCACCAUCCAAUUUAAAUGCUAGCCAUUCUUUUUCUUUUCAUUAUUAAAUAUUGAAGAUAACCCUUGGAGUCAUGUUGGUGUAUUUCCUCUAGGCUUUAUUAUGUGCCUCUUAAAUAAUUUUGAUUACAUGGGUAUACAAACCUUUCUCCUAAAUUUUCCAUGUAGUAUUUCCUAACAACCUCAUUAUGUUAUUAUGAACUCUUUACUUAGGAGAGUUACACAAUUUUCACCCAUUAACAGUCACUUUAUCAUCCCCUGGCUGUGGAUAAUUUAAAUCAUUUUUCCUUUUUUUUGCUAAUGAGUAACAAUGAAUAAAUAUGAGCAUCUUCUUUUAUUCUAACCUUUCAGAUAGGUUUCUGAAAACGGAAUAGCUGACAUAUCAGACUCCCUGUAAUGUCUGAAUGUGGUCAUUUUAUUUUAUUCUUGCCAGCCUUGGGGAAUUUCACUGAAGAAACAAAAACUCCUUGCCAAUUGAUAUGUAAAACAUAACAUUUUACUUACCUUCUGUUUGCCCCUGAAGUUGAACUUUCAUCCACGUUCUCCAACCAGUUAUCUUUCUUCUGUGGUGAAAUACCUUCAUAUUCCUUGUGUCCUUCCAUUUUCCAAGGCCCUUCUUAAAUCCCAAUCCUCCCAUUAGGGGCUUUCAUUGUCCCUUCAGCACAAAGUCACCCUCCCUUUCUACAGUCCUGAACUCUGAGAAGAUCACAAUCUAAUCGCAAUAAUUACACAUAGCUGUAAUAAAAGCACUUGGGUAUAAGUUUCUCUCUCCAGCUAGAGAGUGAGCACUAAGCUUUGCUCCUCAGAUAGAGCACAUAUUCAAUCGACGUCCAAGGGAGAGAGGAAGAGGGACGACGGGAGGUAGGGUGGGGAGGCCUAGCUUCUUAUGCCAUCUCCCCAUCAUGGGGUUGGGGGAUCACAGCAGAAGAGAGACAAAAGGACACCCCAGCCUGCAAUCUGAGUAAGCACCUCCCCUCCACAAUUCUGCCUCAAUGAUUUCAGUUCCAAAUUUUCACUCAAACUCACAGGCCAUCAUGGCAUCAACACUGCCUCUCUACGAACUAUAGAUAGGACGUAGCCAGCCUCUGUAUAAUACAUUGAAGGCUUUGCAGAGACAGGGCUAAGUAAUUGAUAAAAAUUUAGAAUGUACUCU
Molecule: long non-coding RNA, 3906 nt
Organism: Equus caballus (horse)
Lineage: Eukaryota; Metazoa; Chordata; Mammalia; Perissodactyla; Equidae
Source: RefSeq, a predicted model, not a curated record